CUUAAUUAAUGUUCAUGUUGCGGUGCGGAUGCUUGCAAUGUGGGUUGCUGAAUUGUAAAAUAUCGAACUUUUGGAAAAAUACGUGCCCAUAUAAAAUGAACUACUUUUUGUACUAUGAAAGAACAAUUGUCUUGAGAACAUCGCGAAGUGUGUAUUGAAGUAUCGUCGCCUUUCUGAUAACUCGAAAAGUGUCCUUUAUUUUUGGCAUAUUCUUGCUUAUUUAAUGUCCCCGCAUUUAUUGAAACAACUAUUGAUAGUGUUGAUAACUGAUAGAGACAGUGGUUUAGAAUUAUUUUACUUCGAUUAAAGUGUUAAGAAGAAUUAACAAGCAGUGUAUGGAAAUCACCUUGUCUACUUUGAGGGAUCCCUCCAUGCCAACGAAUUCAAGGAAUCCCCAAACAUCAUUGGCUUUCGACAAGAUGAUGGAAUAUCUUCACGGCACUCAUAGAAUUUGGAGAUGGACGAAUAAUAUUUGGACAAUGAAUAAAUAAGGAAUUCUGGGGGUGUACGGCGGAUUUUCUGAAAAGUCCAUUGGUAGAUUCCAGAAACAGUUAGCCUUUACAUUGCAUAAGGUAUUGAAGACCAGCUGAUGAAUGUUUAAAUUUAACACCUCUUUCAAAGGUUCUAUUUGUACUUUGGGUAAUUUCAUCAAGGCUUCAUUUGCAGCUAUUGCAAAAACUUACGCUUACUUAACCUCUGAUUUGUGGCCUGAAAUUGUUCCGACUAAAACACCUUAUCAGGAGUUCUCACACUUUUUAUCUACUGUAAAGCCUAAAAUUCCAGAAUAAUUUUUUUUAUGAUAAGAACAGAAGAUGUGACGAACGCACUGCUCUUCACUAAUAUACUUCAUGGCAUGAACUAAUAUUGGACUCUACCAUAUAAUUUAAUCGAAAAUGGGGAAUAUUUAAUUGAGCCCCAAGUUUUCAUCCACAAAAGUUUGAAUGCUCUAGUUAUGAGCUGCUUGAAGAAUCCUUUUGCUGUCUUACUAGGAAAGUUGCCUCCAUGGAUCAAAUAUGUGAUAGAUAAUUGUCCAUUCAUUUUCUCCUUGAGAACAAGGAUAUUUACAUUCAGAGUCCUAAAUCUGAAGAGAACCAGAGCUUCUUUUAACGUGAUGGACAGAAAUAUGGAAUAUGUCCCAUAUUUUGAUCAAUCCAUGGUAGUCUUUAACACACUUCUGUCUUUUAAAAUUCGAAAGAAAAACAUUCUCACCGAAUUGAUUAAGAGGAACAAUAUUUGGAUCUCUUGUACAGGCAAAACUCCAGCAGAUAAUGAAUAUUUAGGACCUAUCAAAUAUUAUCCUUCAUAUCAAGGAUUUCCAGGAUACUAUUACCCAUAUAUGAACUCGGAAGAUUACUUGAGUCCUUUGGUAACUAUUAAAUUCAAAAGGCCAAAAUCUGGUUUAGUCAUAAAUAUUGAAUGCAGAGCAUGGGCCAAAAACAUAAAAUAUGACAGACAUGACAGAAGUGGAUCUGUACAUUUCGAAUUACUCAUUUACUAAUAUCGGAGUGAUGUUUAAAACUGCUGGAAAGAACUAUAUCAAGCAAUAUUAUAAAUGAAUUUAUAGUUUAUUUGUUGUUAUUUUUUUAAUAAUGUAUUCGUCUGGUAUUACAGAAUCUAAUGGCAGCUAUUUUUGUCCAGUAGUAAAUUCCGAGCCAAAAUGUAGCAACUAACAGUAAGAUGAGAUACUUAUUAGGUUAGUUUUUUUGUUGUCAAUUCAGUUUUGAAUAUUAUAUAUUACCAGACGAUGAUGUACAAUGUAUAUUUUGAUAAAA
Long non-coding RNA from Harmonia axyridis, 1772 nucleotides. RefSeq lists it as uncharacterized. The transcript has 4 exons. Lineage: Eukaryota; Metazoa; Arthropoda; Insecta; Coleoptera; Coccinellidae. The record is from RefSeq and is a predicted model, not a curated record.